CCGUAGGUGAACCUGCGGAAGGAUCAUUAUUGAAUUCCAACUGGGUGAGGUUGUUGCUGGUCUUUUAUGGACAUGUGCACAUCUCUCUCAUUUACCUUUCACCUCUGUGCACUUUUCACAGGACAGCUGGUGGUCAUGGACUUCUUGUCUUUGAUUGCAGGUUGUUUCUGUGUGAUUUUAUAAACCCUUUAUAACAGUCAAGAAUGUUUAUGUGUAUCUGCACAAUUAAAUACAACUUUCAGCAACGGAUCUCUUGGCUCUCGCAUCGAUGAAGAACGCAGCGAAAUGCGAUAAGUAAUGUGAAUUGCAGAAUUCAGUGAAUCAUCGAAUCUUUGAACGCACCUUGCGCUCCUUGGUAUUCCGAGGAGCAUGCCUGUUUGAGUGUCAUGGUAUUCUCAAUUCCUUCAGCUUUUGUUGAAGAGAUAUUGGACUUGGAGGUAAUGCUGGCAUUGUUCUGAAUGCCAGCUCCUCUWAAUUGCAUUAGUGUGAAUGUGCACUUUAUACUCAAUGUGAUAAUUAUCUGCAUUGUGUUAGAGGGUAUAGAUUCAUGCUUCCAAUUGUCACAUGACAUUUYAUUGACUUCUGACCUCAAAUCAGGCAGGACUACCCGCUGAACUUAAGCAUAUCAAUA
This 631-nucleotide ribosomal RNA is filed under the name Lividopora vincta. Its description in RNAcentral is "eukaryotic LSU rRNA". Lineage: Eukaryota; Fungi; Basidiomycota; Agaricomycetes; Polyporales; Cerrenaceae. The record is from RNAcentral.